UUACCAGGGUGUUGCUAUGUUGUUGCUAAAGUUUUCUGCAUUGCUUUGAGGUUGCUAGAAUGUUAUGAGUGGUUACCAAGGUGUUGCUAUGUGUUUGUUAAAGUUUUCUACAUUGCUUUGAGGUUGCUAGAAUGUUCUGAGUGGUUACCAGGGUGUUGCUAUGUGUUUGUUAAAGUUUUCUACAUUGCUUUGAGGUUGCUAGAAUGUUCUGAGUGGUUACCAGGGUGUUGCUAUGUGUUUGUUAAAGUUUUCUACAUUGCUUUGAGGUUGCUAGAAUGUUCUGAGUGGUUACCAGGGUGUUGCUAUGUGUUUGUUAAAGUUUUCUACAUUGCUUUGAGGUUGCUAGAAUGUUCUGAGUGGUUACCAGGGUGUUGCUAUGUGUUUGUUAAAGUUUUCUACAUUGCUUUGAGGUUGCUAGAAUGUUCUGAGUGGUUACCAGGGUGUUGCUAUGUGUUUGUUAAAGUUUUCUACAUUGCUUUGAGGUUGCUAGAAUGUUCUGAGUGGUUACCAGGGUGUUGCUAUGUGUUUGUUAAAGUUUUCUACAUUGCUUUGAGGUUGCUAGAAUGUUCUGAGUGGUUACCAGGGUGUUGCUAUGUGUUUGUUAAAGUUUUCUACAUUGCUUUGAGGUUGCUAGAAUGUUCUGAGUGGUUACCAGGGUGUUGCUAUGUGGUUGUUAAAGUUUUCUACAUUGCUUUGAGGUUGCUAGAAUGUUCUGAGUGGUUACCAGGGUGUUGCUAUGUGUUUGUUAAAGUUUUCUACAUUGCUUUGAGGUUGCUAGAAUGUUCUGAGUGGUUACCAGGGUGUUGCUAUGUGUUUGUUAAAGUUUUCUACAUUGCUUUGAGGUUGCUAGAAUGUUCUGAGUGGUUACCAGGGUGUUGCUAUGUGUUUGUUAAAGUUUUCUACAUUGCCUUGAGGUUGCUAGAAUGUUCUGAGUGGUUACCAGGGUGUUGCUAUGUGGUUGUUAAAGUUUUCUACAUUGCUUUGAGGUUGCUAGAAUGUUAUGAGUGGUUACCAGGGUGUUGCUAUGUGUUUGUUAAAGUUUUCUACAUUGCUUUGAGGUUGCUAGAAUGUUCUGAGUGGUUACCAGGGAGUUGCUAUGUGGUUGCUGGAAGGUUGCCAGGGCAUUGCAUUAAGCACAUUGUAAUGCAGUAUAUUUUGGCCUGUACAUAUGGCUUGUGUUACAUUAAACAUGAAUUCCUGACCAUAUGUUUGUUUGUAUGCAGAUUGAUGAUAAUGACGACUCGCACAACAUGUAUGUUUUGA
This is a long non-coding RNA of Cyprinus carpio (common carp), 1263 nucleotides long. The record is from Ensembl. Lineage: Eukaryota; Metazoa; Chordata; Actinopteri; Cypriniformes; Cyprinidae.